UGGGGUGUAGCUAGCCAUAUAGCACUUGCUUUGCAUGCACAAGGCCCUGAGUUCAAUCCUCAGCACCACAG
RNAcentral lists this transfer RNA (71 nucleotides) under Ictidomys tridecemlineatus (thirteen-lined ground squirrel). RNAcentral's name for it is "Spermophilus tridecemlineatus (thirteen-lined ground squirrel) tRNA". It matches the Rfam family "tRNA". From Rfam's summary of the family: Transfer RNA (tRNA) molecules are approximately 80 nucleotides in length. Their secondary structure includes four short double-helical elements and three loops (D, anti-codon, and T loops). Lineage: Eukaryota; Metazoa; Chordata; Mammalia; Rodentia; Sciuridae. The record is from Rfam by way of RNAcentral.